This 585-nucleotide ribosomal RNA is filed under the name Triticum aestivum (bread wheat). Its description in RNAcentral is "partial small subunit ribosomal RNA". Lineage: Eukaryota; Viridiplantae; Streptophyta; Magnoliopsida; Poales; Poaceae. The record is from RNAcentral.
AUGAUGCAUGAGCUCAAGGAGGCGUUUCACAAGAAACGUGAUGAAGCCAAAGGUUCUCGAGAGCGCAUGAAGCUUUUGGCUGCCAAAUGUGUUCAAGCCUAUAAUGAAGCUGAGAAGCGCAAUGCACUUGGGCGUCCUGGCAGCGACCCCAAGAUGGCUGCCAAACAGAAGAAGCCAACUCCGCAAGCCGAAGCAUCUAGGCGGGAAGAACCUCGCAUUGUCUUCCCGGCCAAUAUGACAGGCGUGAAGCCUAUGGUCCCCACAGUGGCUUCGGAGCUCAAGAAAAUGAGGGCAGCCGAAGCCGAAGCCAGAAAGCACAAGACCAAGAACACCACUGACGAGGCUCCACCUGCCAAGAAGCGAAAAACCAAGAAGAAGGAUCGGGCUGCUCUGACAGAGCCCCUUGUCGUCGAGCCAAUUUCUGUUGCUCGUCCUGCAUCUGCACAUCAAGAGCGUCGUAUGAUAGUUCAUGAGGCUGCUUCCACAGAGGCUCCUGAAGCUGAAGACAUUCCAGCUGUUGACCGCACCGCAGCUAAAGACAUUGGUCAACAUGACAAUGUAGAAGAUGAUGAAGUCCUUCAUUAG